CGCAAGCGCCGCCGCGCGUCGGGAGCCUGGGCUAGACUGUCGGUGCCGCUCACAGGCAGCUUCAGGCGCCGGGGCCGGGCGCGCGAGAGAUGCCGCCGUCCGAGUGCCGCAAGCUGGCGGGCCCGGGCUGCCGGAGCGGGGGGAAUUGAGAAUGGGCCAUCAACAAUGCUAGGUCUACAAUGGGAAGUGUCACGCUUCGCUAUUUCUGCUAUGGGUGCCUUUUCACAUCUGUGACUUGGACACUUCUGCUGUUUGUUUAUUUCAACUUCAGCGAAGAGACCCAAUCUUUCAAGAAUGUGCCCGUCAAGGGGCUGGAACCUCAAAAGCCACUUCCUAAAAAAUUCUAUCCCCGUUUCACUCGGGAUCAAGUUCGCGUACCUGAACCACAACGGAAAGACAGCAGUAUAGGGAAUCCAUUUGGAAAUCAUGCACAGGACCCAGGGAAGGGAGACAUGGAGCUCUCCCCUGAAAUGGGCAUGAUUUUUAAUGAACACGAUCAGGAGGUGAGAGACUUGGGCUAUCAGAAGCAUGCCUUCAAUAUGCUUAUCAGCAACCGUUUGGGAUACCACAGGGAGGUGCCAGAUACAAGGGAUGCAAAGUGCAGAGAAAAGUCCUACCCUUCUGAUUUACCGUUUGCCAGCAUAGUUAUCUGUUUCUAUAACGAAGCAUUUUCUGCUUUGCUUCGGACAGUACAUAGCGUACUGGAUCGCACUCCAGCAUAUCUCCUUCAUGAAAUUAUCUUGGUGGAUGACAACAGUGAAUUGGUUGAUUUGAAAAAAGACCUAGAUGAAUAUAUCAAAAAAAAUCUUCCAAGAAACACAAAGCUGGUAAGAAAUGAAAAGCGAGAGGGGCUGAUUCGAGGAAGAAUGAUUGGAGCAUCUCAUGCUACAGGAAAAGUGCUGGUGUUCCUGGACAGCCACUGUGAAGUGAAUGAGAUGUGGUUACAACCUUUGCUGGCGCCAAUCAGAGAAGACAGCAAGACGGUGGUGUGCCCCGUGAUUGACAUAAUCAGUGCUGACACGCUCAUCUACAGCUCUUCCCCUGUUGUGCGGGGAGGGUUUAACUGGGGUCUGCACUUUAAAUGGGAUCUUGUUCCUUUGUCAGAAUUAGAAGGACCUGAGGGAGCCACUGCGCCAAUCAAGUCACCUACUAUGGCAGGAGGUUUGUUUGCUAUGGAUAGAGAAUACUUCAAUGAACUUGGACAGUAUGAUAGUGGCAUGGACAUCUGGGGAGGAGAAAAUCUGGAAAUAUCAUUUCGGAUCUGGAUGUGUGGAGGUAGACUUCUAAUCAUCCCGUGCUCCAGGGUAGGACACAUAUUCCGUAAAAGGCGCCCCUAUGGCUCACCGGGGGGGAAGGAUACCAUGGCACACAACUCUCUGCGCCUGGCACACGUGUGGAUGGAUGAAUAUAAGGAACAAUAUUUUGCGCUAAGACCUGAACUAAGGACCAGGAAUUAUGGAAACAUUACUGACCGUGUGGAGUUGAGAAAAAAAAUGAACUGCAAGUCAUUUAAAUGGUAUUUAGAUAAUAUCUACCCAGAGAUGCAAAUAUCCGGGCCCAAUGCCAAAGCUCAGCAACCAGUUUUUAUUAACAGAGGGCAAAAACGACCAAAAAUACUGCGGCGUGGAAGGCUUUAUCACCUUCAAACCAACAAAUGUCUGGUUGCCCAGGGUCACCCAAGUCAGAAAGGAGGACUAGUUGUGGUUAGGGAGUGUGACUACAGUGAUCAAAACCAGAUAUGGAUUUAUAAUGAAGACCAUGAGCUGAUUUUAAAUAAUCUCCUCUGCUUGGACGUGUCAGAAACUCGCUCAUCAGAUCCACCUCGUCUCAUGAAAUGCCACGGAUCUGGAGGGUCACAGCAGUGGACGUUUGGGAGUCUCCAACUGAAAUCGGCCUAGAUGUGCAAACACGCAAUGAGAGAGUCCCUAUCCCAAAGAGCUUACAAUCUGAACAGACCAGACAGAUGAAGAGGUGGGGAAAGGAAGCAUUAACCCCAUUUUACAGAUGAGGAACUGAGGCAGAGAGAGCUGUAUGUCUGCCAUGACACAGUUAAUCAGGGCUAUGAAGAGUUAAUGAGAAAGAUGGCAUUGCUUCAGCGGCUUAGUGUGAAGACUGAAUGCACCAGCUUAGAGAAUAAGGCCAUUGAAAAAAAGCACAAAAUGGAAUCCCUCCCCAACAGCUAGCCAAGGGAACGUGGCUAAUUUCCAAACAUGAGAUCACAGCUCUCUGGAGAGCCACCCACCUUGCAGGACCUCCUGUCAACGUAGCAUCAAUGACAUGAUCAUUGUCAAUGCGGAACAUGUACACUCCACGAUUCUGAAAGAGAGUGGGGAGAAAAGGCACUAUAGAUUUUACAAAAAAAAAAUCGGUGAUUAACACAAAGCAGCAACAUGAACCAUCUCCAAGUACUUUUCUGGAUUCACAAUUAGACGUGGCCCAUUGGCUCACUAAGGAAGUAUUGAUUCAUAUAUUGCACUUACUGUGUGAAAGUGGGACACUAUCAUUUACUCCACUACCUAUGAGGAAUGGAUGGGCCAUAAACACGAGAGGCAACCUCCUGUGAUCUGAAUAUCCCCCUCAAAUAAUAUGCUAAUACGAUUUGUAUAGCACCUUUCAUGUAAGGUCUCAAAGUGCUUUACCAAUGAAUGGUCCCUCACAACAUCCCGGCAUUGCACAAAGAGGUGAAGCCUUACUUAAAAAGUGGUCCCUAAAAAUGCAGGCUCUGACCUCUCUGCACUUGUACAACUGUAAGAUCGGUACAUUACCUGACUCACUGGCGUUUGUGAGGUUUAAUAUAUUUGGUAAGCACUCUGAGAUCCUGGAAUGAAAGGCACUGUAAAGGUCUAAGGUAAUAUUAACAUCUCAAGGUCAUGCAGUAAGUCUGUGGCAGAGUGAUGAACAGAAUCAAAAGCAGAGUGGCACAGCAAAAGUGUGCCGAGUCUAUAACUGAGAGGUCAAUGGAUUGAAACGGUCUUCUGCUAGUUCUUAUGGUCUGUGUUAUACAGGAAGUCAGGCUGGAAGAUCACAAUUGUCCCUCUGGCCUUGGAAUCUAUGAAUUCAGGAGACCCAAUUCCCAGUCCCGCUACAAUCACUAGACACAACACUGCCUCCCAGAAUUCAAACAUUCAUUCACAAGAGUACUUUGACUCAGCUUCCUCAGACUGGAAGUCUUAAAAUGCUGGCAACUCAUCUCAUUCUGUUGCAUGAAUACUUAAAGGAAAGGAAAGAAAAGGAACGGAACGGAACAGUAAGUAAAUAAUAAUAAUAAUAUACAAUACCUGAGAUUCAUAAAGCUUCUCCUUCCUGUUUGCCACCUCAUUACGGAUGAUAGUUCCAAUAUAUUCAAUGAUCAUGGUGUGCUUUUCAAUGUCUCUAGCAGCGUAUAAGCCCAGGCCCUACAAAGGGAAUACUGUGUGAUUUAGAACUGGAGAAUCAAUGCACAUUUACAUUUGAUUCCUUUGGUGUGCCCCCAAGCCAUGCUUGGAGAAAAUCUAUAUCUACACAUGCAGAAAUGAUACAUAAUGAAAGAUAAAAAGUGACACGGUUGAAAAAACACAAAAGGUCAGCAAAUGCAAACAGUGACCUUAGCUCCAGCAUAUAUACACAUUCAAUAUGUUUAACAUAUACAAUUGGAAAUAUAAACAGUGAUAUAUUAAGAGACAUAUUUACCCAGAAAACAGGAAAAGCAGAGUAUAUGAGCAACAUGGCUGAAUUAAUAUACACUUUUAAAGUUUAAAACAGAGAACUAUCUGAGCAAUUACAUUCUGUGAUUUCUUCACUUCAUCUCCUGAUUUGUUGUGAUUUUAACUAUACAGCUUUAAUGAUGCAAAAUCAGUUUUCUGCAUUUAAUUUCCUAGUUUUUUUAAAAUAAGAGAAAAUGCUUUGCAAUUAUUUAUCUUGCAGCCAAUUGAGCUAGUAGGCUUCUUACUCUAGAGUUAUUUGACCUAUGCAGAGAUUGUGAAUUCCUUGAACAAUAAAGAGUACUUUCUAGCACCAAAUAAUUCAAAUGUGUGCUAUGGUGUUUUAUCCAUUUAAAUAAUCUUCCACAGUCCAACCUAAAAUAUACAGCAAAUAUAUACAAGGCAUGUUAUACAGAUUUGGCAACACUUUCAGUGGAGCUGAACAUCUGGGAGGUUUGCAGAAGUCAAUAAAUUGACUAUUUAAUUGUAUUAACAUGACAAAGUAUUUUACUCAACAUCCUGGACUCGCAUUAUUUCUGUUCUCCAUUUUUUAAUGAGCUAGCUUGGUCUAAAAUUAGUCACUAGAUAUGCAGAUGAUCCUCCCACUGCUGCUGGUAAAAAAGAUUCUGUAUAUUUUAGUUUCUUCACUAAACUGCAUUUUGUUUUUGAGAAAAAAGUUAAAAGGACCUAACCAGUAAAACAACACAACUCAAUUUUGCAAGCUAGGGCUUCAGUCAAUUAAAAAAAAAAAAAAAGAUUUAAAUUAAACGACCACCUUUGUUACAUACAAUAGAUGGAAACUGAUCACCACACAUAUGCCGUAAAUUCCCUUCAGACUUUACUAGACUCUACAGACUGUAGGGAAUUGUAUUUAGGAAUAAAAAUCUCAAAAAUACAGCUAUAUUGUAACUGACCUGAAUCCGAGAGCGAGCCAGAUACACAUUGGAUUUCCAUUCAGUCUUCAUUUUACGGUACUGGGAGGACUUGGAAUGGACAAACUGUUUACUGUAAGGCGCAUUUAGCUCUCCUGUCACUGUGCUCUGAAAUGACUUUGAGGUGCUGGUGCUAUUCAAGGUGUGAGGCCUGCAGGAAUUGGGCAUAUAACAGAAAAAAAUACAAGGAAAA
This is an RNA transcript of Chelonia mydas (Green sea turtle), 4805 nucleotides long. It is a transcript of the gene named polypeptide N-acetylgalactosaminyltransferase 11, with no coding region annotated. The transcript has 13 exons. Lineage: Eukaryota; Metazoa; Chordata; Testudines; Cheloniidae. The record is from RefSeq and is a predicted model, not a curated record.